UGUUUGGCUUCAACACAAACGUUUGCAUGACGCUUCUUAGAAACUGCAUGAAGAGACGAUUUGAGAUGAUUCGAGAUGAUUCGAGAUGAUUCGAGAUGAUUCGAGGUGAUUCGAGGUGAUUCGAGGUGAUUCGAGACCUUCAGGAGGACUCUGAUGAAGACAGCGGCAAACAUACAAGCAGAGGAGUCUUCCUCUGAUGAAGGUCAAACCAGGGUCAGCAGCUGACCUGAGAAGCAGGAACGUACCGUUGGUCUUGCUUUGGGGGUCUCUCUGCUCACAGUCCUGCUGCCGGGCCCCCACCGUGUCCUUCAUGACGGUCAGGAGCGGGAAAGGACUCGCCGGGCCAGUUCAGCAGACAGUUGAGGACGACCAUGCAGGCCAGGCCGGACCACACCCACAUGAUGACCCGGAACGACACGCCCAGGUCAUAGAUCAGCUGUGACAGAGCGUGCACGUGCAUGUGUGCACCUUGACACCAGGAAAGGUGACGGCCGAAGACGCGUAGGAUCCGAUCAUCAGGGAGAGGAUGGUGGAUCGGAUGUUCCCAAACAUGUUCGGCAGCUGCAGGAGAGAGAAACUCCGAUCAACUUCCUGAUCGAAUGUUUCACAUUAAUUUUUAGUUUAUCUUCAUAUUUUCUCUCACUUUGUCACCAGUAAAGUAAUCAAUGCUGACUAG
Molecule: long non-coding RNA, 676 nt
Organism: Oryzias melastigma (Indian medaka)
Lineage: Eukaryota; Metazoa; Chordata; Actinopteri; Beloniformes; Adrianichthyidae
Exons: 3
Source: RefSeq, a predicted model, not a curated record